ACCCGUAGCAAGCCUGCUAUACUCUCUGUGUACCUGUAAAACUCAUACAUGAUCAUACAUUUUCUGUGAAAAUAAAAACUCUUUGCUGAACCAAGGCUUAACCUGUGCAUGCACUAUCUCUGUACUCUGUACUCAUGUACUCUGUACUCUGUACUCUGUACCCCUGACUAGAGCUUACUCUAGAUGGGUUAACUCAUACCUGUUAAGCCUGGUUUUUACAUACAGGAAAACAUAUACAUACACAGAUCAUGUAUAAAACAUACAUCUCUAGGUCAAGCACAUGUCUAACUGUAUACACAACUCGUACAUUUCUUUAAGAUUACAUGUCCA
Molecule: long non-coding RNA, 330 nt
Filed under: Manihot esculenta (cassava)
Lineage: Eukaryota; Viridiplantae; Streptophyta; Magnoliopsida; Malpighiales; Euphorbiaceae
Description: long non-coding RNA (MESC_LNC010958)
Source: RNAcentral